AAGCGUCCAUAGCGACGGCGGAGUUCGGCACCUCGAUGUCGGCUCACCUUAGCGCGGGGCUGGAGAAGGUCCCAAGCGUUUGGCUGUUCGCCAAUUAAAAAGGUACGCGAGCUGGGUUCAAACCGUUCAGCAACUGAACAUAAACAAUCCCAUCUAGGGACUUACGAUGUCCCUAGAUGGGUGAAGGUUCGGUGAUUGAACGGUUUGAACCCACGAGGCAAUUGUUAGGUACGUGGAGACGUACUGUGCGAAAGACAUACUCACGGCGGUCUCGCACAGGAAUGUGCGAGGAGCAAAUCGACUUAUAUCGGUGGAACCCGAGCUUGUUGUGUACAAGUGGGCAAUACCGAGGGAACCCUGUAGUGAAUUUUGGCAACCAAAAUCUACUACAGGGGCCCGUAGAGACUGAAUGUCGAUCACCGAGAACCGGUGAAGUUACAGUCCAAUCCCCGUAGUAAUACGGGACGUAGAUGCGUGAGACAGGUUGGUCUCCUAUCUACUACAGGCGUUGAUUCUUGAGGAGGGUCGUCCCUAGUACGAGAGGACCGGGAUGAACUGACCACUGGUCUACCAGCUGUUCUGCCAAGAGCACUGCUGGGUAGCUAUGUCGGGUUGCGAUAACCGCUGAAAGCAUAUAAGCGGGAAGCGUGCUCCAAGAUUAGGAAUCGUUAUGAGACUCGUAAGAGAUGAUUACGUUGAUAGGCACUAGGUGGAAACGCCGUGAGGUGUGGAGCCGAGGUGUACUAAUAAGUUCA
Molecule: ribosomal RNA, 755 nt
Filed under: Candidatus Kaiserbacteria bacterium CG10_big_fil_rev_8_21_14_0_10_56_12
Lineage: Bacteria; Candidatus Kaiseribacteriota
Description: partial 23S ribosomal RNA
Rfam family: Bacterial large subunit ribosomal RNA
Source: RNAcentral